This is a small nucleolar RNA of Ornithorhynchus anatinus (platypus), 138 nucleotides long. NCBI's taxonomy places the organism in Eukaryota, Metazoa, Chordata, Mammalia, Monotremata, Ornithorhynchidae. The record is from RefSeq and is a predicted model, not a curated record.
CCCCUCUCAGGGUUGCAUCUGGAGAGUUUCCAGCACUCUGCCAGUCUUGACUACAGGAGGGAGAGUCAAGCAGAGGCCCGUCCAUUCCAUUCCUAGCUUGGCCAGUGGCUAGCGAGCGGAAGGCCAUCUGCUACAAGU